This 434-nucleotide ribosomal RNA is filed under the name uncultured bacterium. RNAcentral's name for it is "bacterial SSU rRNA". It matches the Rfam family "Bacterial small subunit ribosomal RNA", at positions 958 to 1397 of the family's 1533-position model. The record is from RNAcentral.
AACGCGAAGAACCUUACCGGGGCUUGACAUCCUGCGCUAUCCUAGGAGACUAGGUUUCCGGGCAACCGGACGCAGAGACAGGUGCUGCAUGGCUGUCGUCAGCUCGUGCCGUGAGGUGUUGGGUUAAGUCCCGCAACGAGCGCAACCCUUGCCGUGUGUUGGUCGCAAGAUCUCUCACGCGGGACCGCCGGUGACAAGCCGGAGGAAGGUGGGGAUGACGUCAAGUCAGCAUGGCCCUUACGUCCCGGGCUACACACGUGCUACAAUGGGAGGGACAACGAGUCGCGAACCCGCGAGGGCAAGCUAAUCUCACAAACCCUCUCUCAGUUCGGAUUGAAGGCUGCAACUCGCCUUCAUGAAGUCGGAAUCGCUAGUAACCGUAGAUCAGCUACGCUGCGGUGAAUACGUUCCCGGGCCUUGUACACACCGACAUA